UACAUGGGGGUGCAAACGUUGCUCGGAAUUAUUGGGCGUAAAGCGCACGUAGGCGGUUCGUUAAGUCGGAUGUGAAAGCCCUCGGCUCAACUGAGGAAGUGCACCCGAAACUGGCGAGCUUGAGUACGAAAAGAGGAUCGCGGAAUUCCCCGGUGUAGAGGUGAAAUUCGUAGAUAUCGGGGAGGAACACCGGUGGCGAAGGCGGCGAUCUGGGGUCGAUACUGACGCUGAGGUGCGAAAGCGUGGGGGAGCAAACAGG
This 259-nucleotide ribosomal RNA is filed under the name uncultured bacterium. RNAcentral's name for it is "partial 16S ribosomal RNA". It matches the Rfam family "Bacterial small subunit ribosomal RNA", at positions 524 to 776 of the family's 1533-position model. The record is from RNAcentral.